Antechinus flavipes (yellow-footed antechinus) is the source of this 812-nucleotide long non-coding RNA. RefSeq lists it as uncharacterized. NCBI's taxonomy places the organism in Eukaryota, Metazoa, Chordata, Mammalia, Dasyuromorphia, Dasyuridae. The record is from RefSeq and is a predicted model, not a curated record. The transcript has 3 exons.
AGAAAGGAGAGAAGGCUGGGUCGGGGGACUGGGGAGGGCGGAACCCUCCCCUGGGUAAGGAGAGCAGCAAAGGUCAGGGAGCAGAGUCCAAGAGUGCACCGGAAUGGGGAAGGGAGGUGCAGGUCAGCAGGCAGUGCAACAGAAUGGGGAAUCGGAGGCACAGGUGAGCAGACAAUGCAACAGAAUAGGGGAAUGGAGGCACAGGUGAGCAGACACUGUAACAGAAUAGGGGAAUGGAGGCACAGGUGAGCAGACAAUGCAACAGAAUAGGGAAACGGAGGCACAGGUGAGCAGACACAGUGUAACAGAACGGGGGAAUGGAGGCACAGGUGAGCAGACACUAACAGAAUAGGGAAACGGAGGCACAGGUGAGCAGACACUGUAACAGAAUAGGGAAAUGGAGGCACAGGUGAGCAGACACUGUAACAGAAUAGGGAAACGGAGGCACAGGUGAGCAGAUAAUGCAAUAGAAUAGGGAAACGGAGGCACAGGUAAGCAGAUACUGUAACAGAAUAGGGGAAUGGAGGCACAGGUGAGCAGACACAGUGUAACAGAACGGGGGAAAUGAAGGCACAGCUGAGCAGACACUAACAGAAUAGGAAAACGGAGGCACAGGUGAGCAGAUAAUGCAAUAGAAUAGGGAAACGGAGGCACAGGUAAGCAGAUACUGUAACAGAAUAGGGGAAUGGAGGCACAGGUGAGCAGACACUGUAACAGAAUAGGGGAAUGGAGGCACAGGUGAGCAGAUAAUGCAAUAGAAUAGGGAAACGGAGGCAUAGGUGAGCAGAUAAUACAACAGAAUAGGGAAACAG